AACGCACGAGACCUGCGGACCUGCGGAAGGAUCAUUAGUGAACGCCCUCACGGGCUUAUAACUAUUCCAAACCUCUGUGAACCGUGCCCUUCGGGGCUAUUUUACAAACAUGGUGUAAUGAACGUCAUAUAUCAUAACAAAACUAAACUUUCAACAAUGGAUCUCU
This 166-nucleotide unclassified non-coding RNA is filed under the name soil metagenome. RNAcentral's name for it is "partial contains 5.8S ribosomal RNA, internal transcribed spacer 2, and large subunit ribosomal RNA". The record is from RNAcentral.